ACCAUCGACUUUACCUUGCCCCUCUUUCUCUCUUUUGUGGUUCAUCGCACCAUCAUUUCAAAACCUAAAGAAUCGUUGUAGCUUUUGCAAAACCUCUCAAUAUUGCCCUCAUUCCAUGACCACCACCACCUCUCACUCUUCUCAUAAUCGCUUAAACCCACUCGAUCUCGUUCUCAGAUUUAGGGUUCCUGUUUCGAGAGACAAUCUCCAUGAUAACAAAUGAGGCAUUAUCGUCGAUGAAGGAGAAGGUGUAAAAUCUCCAAUUUAUAUAUAUCUCAGUCUAUUUUCAUUUGUUAUAUUGAUUGGAUUGAUUUAUGUUCAAUCUGUUUAGUUUAUCAUUUUGUGUGAAAUCUCCAAUUGAUGUUUAGUUUAUCGAUUAUGUGUUUGAUGAUUUGUGAAUGUGUUAUGCUUUGCUUAGAUCAUUCAACGAAUUAUGAUAAAUGAUGAUUCUUUUGUUGUUUGAAACGGAAACUUCACAUCCGAACUUUAGAAGUAUUUAAUAUUUUUGAAGGAAUAGCAAAAUGUAAAUUUCGAGGAAGAUUAUAAGUAGGAUUUAUUUAUAUAGAAUUGUUCUAUAAAAUUGUGUUUGGAUAGAAUCCGUUAUUACCAUUUUAUGGUUUAUACAGUAUCUGUGAGCGAUAUUUAGUCAUCUUAAAUGCCUUGUGUACAAUUUGAAUGGAAAAGGGAAAAUGAAGCUUAAGAUUUUUACUAUUCUGAAGCGUGCAAUGCUAACUCCGGUGAGUUCUUGACCUCUUUUCUACCUACUCCUAUUUUAUCUUCUUGUUUCUGAUCUGCUGCAACUAUGUGAUUUGUUAUGAAUUUUUGCCUUACGAUUCGUACGCGUAUGCUUGGUUGAGUUGUGUGUGAGCGUCGAUUAUGAGGGUGAUGUUUUGUUAUUUGGUGUGUUAUGAGCGGAGGGAGUGGUUUGAAGGUUGAACAGAGAUGAAUUGUGAAUGUAUGUUGGGUUGAAGAGUUGCAGUGAAGUUAUGGUUAAAGUUGAGGUACUGAGGAGAGUGUAUGUUAGAGGUGGUGACGAUUUUAUGAGGAUGAGGGAGUUACGGGUUUGAGGGUAAAGUUUAAGAGAGUGGAGGUUUUUGAUAGUAAUUUUCUGAGCUUGUGGUUGAAGGGAGAUUUAGAAGGGAAGGAUUUUGAUGAAGAAGGAUUUGAGCUAUGAGGUUGUUGUUUAUCUUUAGCAGAGGUUAAUGAAUAGUUUGGAGAGGAAUUGUUUUGUGCCUCAAAUUUAGAGUGUAAGAGUGGGUUUAUAUAGGAUAGAAAUUAGGGUUGUGAGAGUGGUUUGGAAUUCUGAUUUUUAAGAGUGAGGUUUUGAAAUGUGCAGGGUGAGGAUUGUUUUGUUUGUUGCUGCAGAGUAGAGUAGUGGAAGAAGGGUGACGUUUGUUGCCUCUGUACUAUUGUACCUUUGUUUUUUCAGGUUUUUCCACUCUUUUGUCCUUUGUCCUCUCGUGAAAUUGCUGAUUUGUUCACUUUAUUACUGCUACUGGUUUUAUCAUUCAAAACAAAAUGUUGCAAGUUUCAUUUAUAUUCCUCUUAACAUGAACUGAUGAUGGUCUAAUGUUGUUUGCAAGUUGAGCUUGGUGUUUAGUCUAAUAAGAGGCCUGAUUGAACUUGGCAUGUAUGGUGCAACAUGGAACUUGGAAAUGGAGUUCUUGGAAUGGUGCAUCUUUAGCAGCUUGAGAUGAAUCAAACAGAUAGAAGCUAUGAAAUAGCCACUGAACUUGUUCCUCUGAGCUUAAUCGUCCAUGUCAUUUUGUUCACCUUUUACCCUUUCAAUAUCGUAUACCGCCCAAGCCGUUCCAUCUUUAUCCGAUGUUUAUUCCGCUGCAUAUGCGCUCCUUUUUUUUCCAAUAACAUAAAUAUGAAAUUAAAAUUUGACUUUUUCCAACAACAUUAAAGAAUGACAUAUCUGUGCAGGUUUCAUUUUCAGACUUUUUCUUGGCCGAUCAACUUACCAGUCGGGUCUUUUUGUGCUCCUAUGGAUUCUAUAUGAUCAGUGUAUGCAACAAUUAUACGAUGAGAGAGAGAGAGACCAUGCGAUCAAUGGUUCAAAGUAUCUAUUGACAAUUUUUUCGAUGGUGAUUAGGACUACGUUUGAUACAAAAAAUGGAAUAAGAUGGAAAGUGUUGCCACUUCUAAGUUCGGGUGUAGCGAUACUAAUGAAUUCAUAUUGAGACAUAGUGAAGGAUUGGAGUCUCUUGCAAAGACAUUUGAAGAAUUGUUAUUCUAGAGAUAAACUCAUAGUAUCUCACAAAAGUGUCUACUACAUAGCCAUGGUUGUGAAUGUUCUAAGACUUUCAUUGAUGCUGGUGCUUGAAUUGGAUUGGUGUCUCAUUCAUAAAGUGGCGAUUAUUACGUUUAUUUCGUGUCUUGAAAUUGAUCGACAUGGCAUAUGGAACUUCUUUAGAGUGUUAUUAAAUGAGCUCCUACAACAUCCAAAAUGGAGAACAUAAAUGCUCAUGAAAAUGUGAGCCUUGUGCAAUGAUAAAUGCUCAAUCUGGUUGUAUGUGACUUGUAACUUUACUGAUAGACCAUAUGAACUUUUAUGGCACUAGAUGACAAUUUUAGUUAGUUUUUCACUCAUGUUUCUUUGCCCUCUAUAAUUGAUUGAUCUAAUCAGUGAUGAAAUUUUGUAACCUUGUUGAUCCAUUUCACCACUGAUUUUUAUUUGGCUUACUGAUGCUGAUAAUUCUCAUGCUACUUUCUAUUAUAGGAUUGAUGCUUCUUGUACAACGGGUUAUGUGCUGAUUUGGACAAAUGGCUGUCCAAGAACUUAUGAUGUGUUUUUCAGUUGCAAGUGUUCAUAGUUACUUUACAUUGUGAUAUAAGCUUUAAUGUUAAAGGGCAUGGUGGUCUGAAUAUAACUCUAAUUAGGCUACUUUUGAAGAAUCAGAAUGGUGAACUUCAUAUCUUAUAAUUGACUAAUAUGAUUUAGGCCUUACAUUGAUUAAUGUUAUUAUAAAAUUGUUUUAUGUUAUCUUAAUGAGUAAUGGAUUCUUCAAUGAAAAUAUAUAAAUAUGAAAUUGUUUUUAA
This is an RNA transcript of Vicia villosa (hairy vetch), 3045 nucleotides long. It is a transcript of the gene named phosphate transporter PHO1 homolog 10-like, with no coding region annotated. The record is from RefSeq and is a predicted model, not a curated record. The transcript has 7 exons. Lineage: Eukaryota; Viridiplantae; Streptophyta; Magnoliopsida; Fabales; Fabaceae.